Molecule: transfer RNA, 72 nt
Filed under: Bos taurus (domestic cattle)
Lineage: Eukaryota; Metazoa; Chordata; Mammalia; Artiodactyla; Bovidae
Also listed under: 4 other names
Rfam family: tRNA
About the family: Transfer RNA (tRNA) molecules are approximately 80 nucleotides in length. Their secondary structure includes four short double-helical elements and three loops (D, anti-codon, and T loops).
Source: Rfam by way of RNAcentral
UCCCUAGUGGCUCAGUUGGUAAAGAAUCUGCUUGAGAUGCAGAAGACCCGGGUUCGAACCCUGGGUUGGGAA